Molecule: ribosomal RNA, 253 nt
Filed under: uncultured bacterium
Lineage: Bacteria
Description: partial 16S ribosomal RNA
Rfam family: Bacterial small subunit ribosomal RNA
Source: RNAcentral
UACGUAGGGGGCUAGCGUUGUCCGGAAUCAUUGGGCGUAAAGCGCGCGUAGGCGGCCCGGUAAGUCCGCUGUGAAAGUCAAAGGCUCAACCUUUGAAUGUCAGCGGAUACUGCCAGGCUAGAGUCCGGAAGAGGCGAGUGGAACUCCUGGUGUAGCGGUGGAAUGCGCAGAUAUCAGGAAGAACACCAACGGCGAAGGCAGCUCGCUGGGACGGAACUGACGCUGAGGCGCGAAAGCGUGGGGAGCAAACAGG